UACGGAGGGUGCAAGCGUUAUCCGGAUUCACUGGGUUUAAAGGGUGCGUAGGUGGGUUGGUAAGUCAGUGGUGAAAUCUCCAGGCUUAACUUGGAAACUGCCAUUGAUACUAUCAAUCUUGAAUACCGUGGAGGUCAGCGGAAUAUGUCAUGUAGCGGUGAAAUGCUUAGAUAUGACAUAGAACACCAAUUGCGAAGGCAGCUGGCUACACGAAUACUGACACUGAUGCACGAAAGCGUGGGGAUCAAACAGG
RNAcentral lists this ribosomal RNA (253 nucleotides) under uncultured bacterium. RNAcentral describes it as "partial 16S ribosomal RNA". It matches the Rfam family "Bacterial small subunit ribosomal RNA", at positions 524 to 776 of the family's 1533-position model. The record is from RNAcentral.